AUAAGCUAUUAAGGGCUAAUGGUGGAUGCCUAGACUGUAAGAGGCGAAGAAAGACGUAUUAGGCUGCGAAAAGCCACGGGGAGCUGCCAAAGAGCUUUGAUCCGUGGAUAUCUGAAUGGGGCGACCCAAUAUAAUGAGAGUUAUAUUACCCUACGGGGAGCGAACCUAGUGAAGUGAAACAUCUCAGUAGCUAGAGGAAGAGAAAUCAAAAGAGAUUCCCAAAGUAGCGGCGAGCGAAAUGGGAAGAGGACAAACCCUGUACUUGUAUAGGGGGUAGUAGGACCAUGAUAUAAGAUUAGAGAAGAUAGAUGAAAUACUUGGAAAAGUGUAGCAUAGAAGGUGAGACUCCUGUAAUUAAAAUCUUCAAAAACUUUAAUGGUAUCCUGAGUAGGUCGGAACACGUGAUAUUUUGACUGAAGCCGGGGGGACCACCCUCCAAUCCUAAAUACUACUUACAGAUCGAUAGUGAACAAGUACCGUGAGGGAAAGGUGAAAAGAACUGCAGCAAGCAGAGUGAAAUAGAACCUGAAACCAUUAGCUUACAAUCAUUCAGAGCCCUAUGACAUAGUCAGGGUGAUGGACUGCCUUUUGCAUAAUGAGCCUGCGAGUUGUGGUAUCUGGCGAGGUUAAGCCGAGUGCGAAGCCGUAGCGAAAGCGAGUCUUAAUAGGGCGAAUUAGUCAGAUGCUGCAGACCCGAAACGAAGUGAUCUAUCCAUGAGCAGGUUGAAGCUGGUGUAAGAGCCAGUGGAGGACCGAACCCGCUGACGUUGAAAAGUCUUGGGAUGACUUGUGGAUAGGGGUGAAAGGCCAAUCAAACUUCGUGAUAGCUGGUUCUCUCCGAAAUAUAUUUAGGUAUAGCCUUGUGUAGUAACAUAUAGGGGUAGAGCACUGAAUGGGCUAGGGCUGCUUACCGCGGUACCAAACCCUAUCAAACUAUGAAUACUAUAUGUGUAAUCACAGGAGUCAGGCGGUGGGUGAUAAAAUCAAUCGUCGAGAGGGGAACAACCCAGACUAACAGCUAAGGUCCCAAAGUUACAUCUAAGUGGAAAACGAUGUGGAGUUACUGUGACAACCAGGAGGUUGGCUUAGAAGCAGCCAUCCUUUAAAGAAAGCGUAACAGCUCACUGGUCUAGUGAUUCUGCGCGGAAAAUAUAACGGGGCUAAGAUGUACACCGAAGCUUUAGACUCAGUUUUACUGAGUGGUAGGAGAGCGUUCACAUCAGCAUAGAAGGUAUACCGGUAAGGAGUGCUGGAGCGGUGUGAAGUGAGUAUGCAGGCAUGAGUAGCGAUAAAACAGGUGAGAAUCCUGUUCGCCGAAAACCCAAGGUUUCCUACGCGAUGUUCGUCAUCGUAGGGUUAGUCGGGACCUAAGUCGAGUCCAAACGGGGUAGACGAUGGUAAAUUGGUUAAUAUUCCAAUACCAACAUAUAAGCGCGAUGUGGGGACGCAUAGAGUUAGUCGAGGUCACUGAUGGAAUAGUGGCUCGAAGGAAGUAGGUUGUUAAGUAGGGAAGUCCGCUUAAUAAUAGACCGAGAUCUGACAGGCUCUUGACACUCUUUAAGAGGAGAUGGAGAAUCGAUGAUACUGUCGUGCCAAGAAAAGCCACUAAGUAUAUUAUAUGUUGCCCGUACCGUAAACCGACACAGGUGGGUGGGAUGAGUAUUCUAAGGCGCGUGGAAGAACCCCCUUUAAGGAACUCUGCAAACUAGCACCGUAUCUUCGGUAUAAGGUGUGCCUACUUUUGUAUAUGGAUUUACUCCAAAAAGCGAAAGAGGUUGCAACAAAGAGUCCCUCCCGACUGUUUACCAAAAACACAGCACUUUGCUAACACGUAAGUGGAUGUAUAAGGUGUGACGCCUGCCCGGUGCUCGAAGGUUAACUGAUGAUGUCAGCGCAAGCGAAGCAUUUGAUUGAAGCCCGAGUAAACGGCGGCCGUAACUAUAACGGUCCUAAGGUAGCGAAAUUCCUUGUCGGUUAAAUACCGACCUGCAUGAAUGGCGUAACGAGAUGGGAGCUGUCUCAAAGGGGGAUCCAGUGAAAUUGUAGUGGAGGUGAAAAUUCCUCCUACCCGCGGAAAGACGGAAAGACCCCGUGCACCUUUACUACAGCUUGACACUGUAGCUUGGAUAUUCAUGUGCAGGAUAGGUGGGAGACUAUGAUGACUAGACGCAAGUAGAGU
This 2179-nucleotide ribosomal RNA is filed under the name termite gut metagenome. Its description in RNAcentral is "bacterial LSU rRNA". It matches the Rfam family "Bacterial large subunit ribosomal RNA", at positions 1 to 2180 of the family's 2925-position model. The record is from RNAcentral.